GAGGCUAUAGCUCAGUGGUAGAGCACGUGCUUACCAUGCAUGAGGUCCAGGGUUCAAUCCCCAGUGCCUCCA
Molecule: transfer RNA, 72 nt
Organism: Camelus ferus (Wild Bactrian camel)
Lineage: Eukaryota; Metazoa; Chordata; Mammalia; Artiodactyla; Camelidae
Rfam family: tRNA
About the family: Transfer RNA (tRNA) molecules are approximately 80 nucleotides in length.
Source: Rfam